CCCCAGGGUGUAGAGGUUCCUCUGGACCCUGCUCCUCUUUUGUUUCUCUUCCUCUCUGAGGAGAAAAGCUCCUGGUCCCCCUCAUCCCUUGCUGAGCACUUUGAGGAGGAGCAGAACCAAGAAACAGGACUCGCAGAGGCCUCAGACCUCCCCUACUCAAAGUUCAGGGACUCGGAGCCUGGGAGGCUGGGGUGGGAGGGAGGAAGGAGGUGGCGCUGGCCGCUAAAUUUGUUCAUCCUGACUGUCAGUCCCUUAAUCUGAUCCCCGAGGAACAACGCAGAGGCUUCACUCUGGAUGACAAACGAGGAGGGGAGAGGCCUGCCCUGCCUGGACUCUGGGUCUUUUCUGAAUGGACCUGACCAUUUCGAAGAACAGAAUGGCAAUUUCACAUGGCGCAACCGGAGAGGUGAACCGCCCAGCCCAGAGCCGGCCUGCAGCGGCACUCACCCCAGCAGCUGUCGUAGCGGAGCGAGCCUGCGUCCUCUAUAAACCCAGGUGACCUCACGCCUCUUCGUUUCUGUUUUCCUGGAAAUUUUUACAAAAUUCCUUUGAACUCUCCAACUUCUCUCACUAAAUGAAAAUAAGUUGGGGUCUCUGAUUAAAACAGAAAAGCAGAUUCUCCCCCCCUCCCCGCCCCCCAGGGAUGCCAGUGGCCAAGGUAGAGGGGUGGCCCCACAGGAGAAGGGAGGACUGGCCUGGGAGGAGGGGAGUGGUGGGGAUGACCCCCUUCCCCUCCCAAGCCCUUCAGAAGAGGCUGACGGGAAAGGGUGGUGAGAAGGGGUGGAGCCCGAGGAGAUUGUGGGGUGUGUACAAAAUGUUGCGUUCUGAAAGGGGGGGCGUGGGAGUGGACUGGAUGCACCCACGCUCUGUGGCUCCUGCCCAGAAUAUUAGGUGAAAAGUGAGGUGGGAGGCCAGGGGUCUCGCCAACCUCAGAGAGCCCCACGUGCAGGUUCUAGGACAUUCCCAUUCUCAGAGACCCAUUCAGCCUGCGGGGGGGGCAGCCCCUGCCUCAGCAACCCCCGCCCCAGGCAGCAGCCUUGCCUCUCCCUCUUAAAGUCAAGUUCAGCCCAGAGGGAGGGGGAAGGUCACAGCAGCAAGUAAAGCUGACAAGCUGAAGGAAGCAGGCAAUCCAUGAGGAAGGCCCCACAGGGCCAGGGAGCCCCCUACACAGACACCCUCUGAGCGAAAGGCCACACACAGCCUGGGGAGCCCCCCCCCCCCCUCCACGGCCCUGUAUUCCAUUCUCUCUUGUCCUCUGGGCUCCCACAUCUCCCGUGCUGCCCUGCGGGAUCAGGCCUCUCUGCCCUCGCUGUGUCCAUGCAGGGAAAUAGCAUCCUAUCAAUUCCGGCACAUUCAUCAAGCGCUGAUCUAGAGCAAUGACGAUAACUCCUGCCAGCCCUUUGCAGGAAGCCUGACAGGUGUUCUUUAAUUCUCCCAGAGAGAUGGCUGUUAUCAUCCUAUUUCACAGAUUGAGAACUUGAGGUUGAGAGAGGAUGAUGAGUAUUAGUUUCCUGGAGCUGCCGUCACUGGCUUCAAACAACAGAAAUUUGUUCUCUCACAGUCCUGGAGGCUAGACGUCCAAAAUCAAGGUGCUGGCAGGAGGCACCUGGGUGGCUCGGUUGGUUAAGCAUCUGACUCUUGGCUUCGACUCAGGUCACGAUCUCAUGGUUGUGGGAUGGAGCCAUGUGUUGGGCUCCGGGCACCACGCUGGGCUUGGAGCCUGCUUGAGAUUCUCUCUCCCCCUCUCUCUCUGCCCCUCCCCUGCUCAUGCCCGUUCUCUCUCUCUUCAGAAUCUGCAUCAGAAUCUGGCUCGUGGCACUUUUGUGCCUAGCAGGCCACUUUGGAUCAUGGCUGUGGGUCCCGCUAGUCUGUCCAGAGACACUGCCCCCGAAGGUGGCCUGCUCGGCUGUCAGCUGAAUCUCCUUCCUGCCCUUUUGCCCACUCCCCCGGCAGGGGCCAGGAGAUCAGGAGGGUUUGGGGUGGAGGGAGGGGUGAGCACAUCAUGGCAGAAGGGGCCUGAGGAGGGAUGAAGAGGAAGGUCAUCCCCAGAGGACAAGUAUAGAGACCUAGAGCGGCAAGUGUCCGGGUCUCUCCUUCCCGUUUCCAGAGGCCCAGGAUCCCCCCACCAUCCUCAGAACACAAAAGCAGCCUCUGUGCCGGUGAGAAAGCUACAGGGCUGGAGCUUCCUCACAUGGACCUGCUGGACUUUUCCAGAAAUAUCAACAAAAGGUCCAAGUUUCUUUCCAUCCCUCUUUUGAAGCAGGAGCUUGGGGCUGAAGCGUUGCCAGCACCUGUGGGAGGGGUCGAGGUGGGCGGCUGUGACCACGGGGGUGUGGGUGGAGAAACCGGGGGCUGUGGAUGCCACUAAAAGUCCCUCCAGGCCCUCCUUCACCCUGGACAGUCAUCCUGCCCCUCCCACUCCCCAAAACAUGGCAGCAAAGAGGAAGGGAUGUGGGAAGAGCAGAAGGGGGAAGUCCCCAGCUCUGCCGGGUCCCAAGAUCACCAACCGAGAGAGAUGCUGGUGCCAUCCAGCCCCCAGAAGAUGUCACUUGUCUCUCCCAGCUACGCUCCAGAGAGAAGGACAGCACUGCACAGACUGGACAUAGGUGUGCAAGGAGGGGGCCCGAGCCCCUGCACAGGAGGAGCCGAUGGGGGAACAGGAGACGCCAGGACUGCUUGGGACAGGCUGAGGUUCAUGUGCAGGAGGCAGGUGAUUUGACGCUGGAGCCGGGAGAGGGGCCAGUACUGACCAUCCAUUUCUUCAGUUGUUUAACAAACACAGUGUGUCAGGCUCUGUUCUAGGUGCUGGGGACACCACAGGGACGGGGCGCAAAGCCCUGCCACCCUGCAGCAGACAGACGACAAAUAACCAAGCUCACAAUUGCAGAGGGCUCUAACCAGAUUGUUGGGGAAUCUCGCCUGGCUGGGAAAUAGACGUGAAAUUGUUUCAUUCUUCCAGGCACAGCCCUGGCUGUGCUGGCAGAGGCUGCUUUCCGGCUGGAAGCGGCAGCUCCCUGGCCAACACCUGGCCAGAUUCUGAGCCUUCUCCACCUGCCAGGUUAGAAUCUUCUCCUUCUGGGCAUUGCCCGGUGAAACCCCAGUUUCUCGCUUGAUGCAAACCUCUUCUCUCCUCCCUGUGCUCAGGUGGACCUUCAGAAGCUCUAUGCCGAUGAGCUGGUGGGUGGAGGGCUCCCCUGGCCCUCAGUUCUCCACUGUUGGGUAGGGAGAGAGAGAAAGAGGAAUCUGCUCCCGAUGUUCCUGGGCCAGGGAGCCCCAGAACCAUGGCUCCUUUUCUGUGAACAGUACCAGGGGUCCAACUUGCUCACCAACGGAGUGUUCACUUGGGGCACUCCCCGUGCUCAGCAAGGCCCCACACUUGGUUUAACAUGCUGCUGCCAUGUCUCGAAAUUCUCAACAAUUGUGGAGCAAGGGGCCCUGCAUUUGCAUUUUUCACCCAGACCGUUACAACGUACAUAGCCGGUCCUGCCUGCCAGACAUGCGUGUUACAGCUGCGUCCAGCUGGCCACAUCACUCCACACUGCGCUCCGCCCCCAACGCUACAACAGUCCCCAAAAGCCUGAAGCCGCAGACUCAUCCACUCUCCAGGCCGGCUCUCCGGGCUGUGGGCACAAGUGAGAUUGCCCUCUGUACGUGAGGGACCAGGAACCUCAGGGUGUGGGUAUCAGCCUCUCCUCACUAGGCAGCCCCCACCCCACCAUCCUCAGGAGCCCCCCGGGCCGGACGGCGGGUCCUCUGGCUAAGCUGAACUCCAAUGGGACACUGAAAUGCCAGCCUCUCCCUCCUGCCGGCUCCCUUGAUUCCUGAACAAAGGAUUCCUUCAUCCUUCCGGGGUCCCUGCCCUUCCUUCCAGCUCUGCUGCAGAUGUGAGGGAAGAUGCUCUCUCCCUCAAAUCUGUGCAGUCCCCAAGGCUCUCCCCCACCAGCCCCCACCUCUUCUGCUCUGCACGUGGGCGAGGGCCUUUGGGGAGGAUGUGGGUCUGACAGGGCCCGGCCGUGAGCCCUGCAGUGACAAGGAAGUCUGGGAGGGUCUGCCACUCGACUAGCCUGUGGGAGACCCAGCCCCUUGGGACAGGCAAGUCCCCACCAGACAGCCGGCAACAGAGCAGCAACUGCUCUGAAGAAGGUGCCAGAGGGGAUGUGGCAGAGAAGAGGACACGCUGUCGGGAUGGUGGCCAUUCCAGUGGAAGAGGCCAAGGACAACCAGGAGGACCAGUCAUCAGUAAUAAAAAAAAGCUGCACGAAA
Panthera uncia (snow leopard) is the source of this 4263-nucleotide long non-coding RNA. RefSeq lists it as uncharacterized. Lineage: Eukaryota; Metazoa; Chordata; Mammalia; Carnivora; Felidae. The transcript is spliced from 2 exons. The record is from RefSeq and is a predicted model, not a curated record.